AGGACGAACGCUGGCGGCGUGCUUAACACAUGCAAGUCGAACGGUGACCUCGGAGCUUGCUCCGGGCGAUCAGUGGCGAACGGGUGAGUAACACGUGGGCAACCUGCCCCUGGCUCUGGGAUAACCCCGGGAAACCGGAGCUAAUACCGGAUACGAGACCGAUAGGCAUCUAUACGGUCUGGAAAGUUUUUCGGCCAGGGAUGGGCUCGGCGGCCUAGUCAGCUUGGUUGGUGGGGUAAUGGCCCACGAAGGCGACGGACGGGUAGCCGGCCUGGAGACGGGCGAUCCGGCCACACGUGGGACUGACGACACGGCCAGACUCCGUACGGGAGGCAGCGAGGUGGGAACUGUCGCGACAAGUCGGGACGAAGCCGUAGACCGG
This 382-nucleotide ribosomal RNA is filed under the name uncultured soil bacterium. Its description in RNAcentral is "bacterial SSU rRNA". It matches the Rfam family "Bacterial small subunit ribosomal RNA", at positions 26 to 407 of the family's 1533-position model. The record is from RNAcentral.